AACGAACGCUGGCGGCAUGCCUAACACAUGCAAGUCGAGGGGUAGCAGGAUUAAGCUUGCUUAAUUGCUGACGACCGGCGCACGGGUGCGUAACGCAUAUGCAACCUACCUUAUACUGGGGUAUAGCCCGGAGAAAUUCGGAUUAAUCCCCCAUAGUACUAAUGAAUCGCAUGGUUUAUUAGUUAAAGCAUUGCGGUAUAAGAUGGGCAUGCGUCCUAUUAGCUAGAUGGUGAGGUAACGGCUCACCAUGGCUACGAUAGGUAGGGGGCCUGAGAUGGUGGUUCCCCACACUGGUACUGAGACACGGACCAGACUCCUACGGGAGGCAGCAGUGAGGAAUAUUGGUCAAUGGGCGCAAGCCUGAACCAGCCAUGCCGCGUGCAGGAAGAAUGCCCUAUGGGUUGUAAACUGCUUUUAUUUGGGAAUAAACCUCUUUACGUGUAGAGAGCUGAAGGUACCAAAUGAAUAAGCACCGGCUAACUCCGUGCCAGCCGCCGCGGUAA
Molecule: ribosomal RNA, 503 nt
Filed under: uncultured bacterium
Lineage: Bacteria
Description: partial 16S ribosomal RNA
Rfam family: Bacterial small subunit ribosomal RNA
Source: RNAcentral